This 550-nucleotide ribosomal RNA is filed under the name uncultured fungus. Its description in RNAcentral is "SSU rRNA". It matches the Rfam family "Eukaryotic small subunit ribosomal RNA", at positions 20 to 575 of the family's 1831-position model. The record is from RNAcentral. Lineage: Eukaryota; Fungi.
GUAGUCAUAUGCUUGUCUCAAAGAUUAAGCCAUGCAUGUCUAAGUAUAAGCAAUUAUACCGCGAAACUGCGAAUGGCUCAUUAAAUCAGUUAUCGUUUAUUUGAUAGUACCUUACUACAUGGAUAACCGUGGUAAUUCUAGAGCUAAUACAUGCUAAAAACCUCGACUUCGGAAGGGGUGUAUUUAUUAGAUAAAAAACCAAUGCCCUUCGGGGCUCCUUGGUGAUUCAUAAUAACUUAACGAAUCGCAUGGCCUUGUGCCGGCGAUGGUUCAUUCAAAUUUCUGCCCUAUCAACUUUCGAUGGUAAGGUAUUGGCUUACCAUGGUUUCAACGGGUAACGGGGAAUUAGGGUUCUAUUCCGGAGAGGGAGCCUGAGAAACGGCUACCACAUCCAAGGAAGGCAGCAGGCGCGCAAAUUACCCAAUCCCGACACGGGGAGGUAGUGACAAUAAAUACUGAUACAGGGCUCUUUUGGGUCUUGUAAUUGGAAUGAGUACAAUUUAAAUCCCUUAACGAGGAACAAUUGGAGGGCAAGUCUGGGCCAGCAGCC